RNAcentral lists this ribosomal RNA (506 nucleotides) under uncultured bacterium. Its description in RNAcentral is "partial 16S ribosomal RNA". It matches the Rfam family "Bacterial small subunit ribosomal RNA", at positions 29 to 523 of the family's 1533-position model. The record is from RNAcentral.
AGUGAACGCUGGCGGUAGGCCUAACACAUGCAAGUCGAACGGCAGCACAGGAGAGCUUGCUCUCUGGGUGGCGAGUGGCGGACGGGUGAGGAAUACAUCGGAAUCUACUCUGUCGUGGGGGAUAACGUAGGGAAACUUACGCUAAUACCGCAUACGACCUACGGGUGAAAGCAGGGGAUCUUCGGACCUUGCGCGAUUGAAUGCGCCGAUGUCGGAUUAGCUAGUUGGCGGGGUAAAGGCCCACCAAGGCGACGAUCCGUAGCUGGUCUGAGAGGAUGAUCAGCCACACUGGAACUGAGACACGGUCCAGACUCCUACGGGAGGCAGCAGUGGGGAAUAUUGGACAAUGGGCGCAAGCCUGAUCCAGCCAUACCGCGUGGGUGAAGAAGGCCUUCGGGUUGUAAAGCCCUUCUGUUGGGAAAGAAAUCCAGCUGGCUAAUACCCGGUUGGGAUGACGGUACCCAAAGAAUAAGCACCGGCUAACUUCGUGCCAGCCGCCGCGGUAA